This 28-nucleotide ribosomal RNA is filed under the name Colletotrichum cliviicola. RNAcentral describes it as "partial 18S ribosomal RNA". The record is from RNAcentral. Lineage: Eukaryota; Fungi; Ascomycota; Sordariomycetes; Glomerellales; Glomerellaceae.
CGUAGGGUGACCUGCGGAGGGAUCAUUA